Non-coding RNA from Hydra vulgaris (swiftwater hydra), 688 nucleotides. The record is from RefSeq and is a predicted model, not a curated record. Lineage: Eukaryota; Metazoa; Cnidaria; Hydrozoa; Anthoathecata; Hydridae.
UUAUUUUUGUAAAAUUAUAAAGAUACUUUUACAAUAAUAUGUUUAUUCUUAUAAAAGUAUCUUGUUAGUGUUUUUCUAAUAUACAGUAAUAUAAUUUUAAAAUACAGUAAUAUAAUUUAUGUUUUUUAUUAUUUUUUUUAUUGCUUUUUUUUUAGUUACAUAGGUUGUUGUACGUAAAGCAGAACUGAUUUGAUAACUGUUAUUUUUAUUGACUGUUGACAAUUUCAAGAUGUUUUUUUUUUUUUUUUGAUUGUAUAACUUUUUUGUUAUCUUUAGGCCAAUUUGCACAGACUACAGCUAGUAAGUUAUUAUAGCAUAACUUUAAUUAACCAUUAAAGAAAUAUAAAUAAAUAUGCAUUUCUUACUUAUUUAUUUAUUACUUGUCGUGUAUGGAUUUCCCAUCUGCUGCAAUAUUAAUUUUUUAAUUUUAGUAUCUACCUCUUGUACUACACCUGUAUCUACCUCUUGUGCUACACCUGGGUGUUAUAACAUCAUAACCACAUCUACGGCCAACUCUAAGAUCACCUUAUUUUGUUUGGCAGUGUUCUGGAAUCAAGUUAUGGCAAUAUUUUAUGUAUAAAAUCUAAUAAUUACAUUAAAAAAGUGCUUAUUUUUGACAAAAACUUGUAUUUUCUUAAGGGUUAGAUGGUGUUUCAUUACCCCCUCUGGCUCCCAAGAUACACCCUAC